Molecule: non-coding RNA, 117 nt
Organism: Danio rerio (zebrafish)
Lineage: Eukaryota; Metazoa; Chordata; Actinopteri; Cypriniformes; Danionidae
Source: Rfam
CGAAAAAGCCAUAUCACCCUGCAGCCCAAGACUGAUUACUCACUAAAGCUAAGCAGGGCUGAGCCUGGUCAGUAGCUGGAUGGGAGACCACAUGGGAAAACUAGGUUGCUGUUGGAA